Molecule: ribosomal RNA, 298 nt
Filed under: uncultured bacterium
Lineage: Bacteria
Description: partial 16S ribosomal RNA
Rfam family: Bacterial small subunit ribosomal RNA
Source: RNAcentral
UUGUUCCUACGGGGCGCAGCAGUAGGGAAUCUUCGGCGAUGGGCGAAAGCCUGACCGAGCAACGCCGCGUGAAUGAAGAAGGCCUUCGGGUUGUAAAAUUCUGUUAUAAGGGAAGAAAGGUGAUAGGAGGAAAUGACUAUCAAUUGACGGUACCUUAUGAGAAAGCAACGGCUAACUACGUGCCAGCAGCCGCGGUAAUACGUAGGUGGCAAGCGUUAUCCGGAAUUAUUGGGCGUAAAGAGAGCGCAGGUGGUUAAUUAAGUGUGAUGUGAAAGCCGACGGCUUAACCGUGGAGGGU